CCGGAAUCUUUUCAAUCGAACGCCGAGAGUCUCGAACGGAAGGGCCCGCUUUAAAAGGGCCGGGAAGCAGCGCACGGAAAGGAGUCUCUGCUAGACUUGAAGAGGCGCGAGGAGAAUCUCAGGACAGUCGGACUGUGUCUUGGCAGGCUCGCGUUUGGCCAGUUGCCUCGUCUUCCGUCCCCCAACAGAGGUGGUGCUGGGGACACUGAGGCAGCGAGGAGCCCAGCCUCCUAGCGCAAUCCCAGUCCCCUGGCCAGCAUCGUUAGUGCUGCGGUACCACCUCCCACACGUACUGGACCUCCAAGAAUGCGCACCUGCACUCCCACCUCUGCGGAGAAAACCCUGGCCCAGCCUUCUGCCCUCGGCUGGGGGAGACCUUGGGUGGGAGAUAAGCCCCUCUGGGCCUCGGGUUUCCCCAUCUAUACAAUGGUUUGAGGGCCGACUUGGUCCUUGAACUCAGGGUCAUCUCAAAGUACUUUCCGGCCCCCAGAUGCGCCUCCUGGUCCUCAGCCGUGCCCCAAGGGAUGGAGACUACUUCUGGAUCCCUUCCCAAACCGUAGAGGCUCCUGGGCAUGGGAGAGGGGAGGUCGGAGAAGGAGCGAACAGGUGCUGCGGGGAGGCGGCCGCUGAUUGGCUGCAGGAAGGGGGCGGGCCUGCGCCGUUGGGGACCGCGGCCCCCAGGUUUGCGGAUAUCAGAGAAUAUAAUAUUGUACAUUAUUUUACCUAAUUCCUCUUCCAAAAACUCCUGGUGGUGCUUUGUUUAAGCGCUUGGCUGCUAACCGGAAGGUCUGCUGCUGGAACCCAUCAGCCGCUCCCGUGAGAAAAAUGUGGCAGUCGACUUCCACAAACGUUGGUGGUGCCAUCAAGUCGGUUCCAACUCAUAGCGACCCUAUUACAAAGAACGAAACACUGCCUGGUACCGCACUAUCCUCACAAGAGUCGCUAUGCUUGAGCCCACAGCUGCAGUCACUGUAUCAAUCCAUCUCGUUGAGGGUCUUCCUCUUUUUAGCUGACCCUCUACUUUACCAAGCAUGAUGUCGUUCUUCAGGGACUGGUCCCUACGACAAUAUGUCUCCAAAGUAGGGAGUCUCGUCAUCCUCACUUCUGUGGAGCAUUCUAGUUGUACUUCUUCCAAGACAUUUGUUUGUUUUUCUGGCAGUCCACGGUAUCUUCAAUAUUCUUCGCCAACACCAUGAUUCAAAGGCAGCAGUUUUUCUGUCUAUUUAUUGUCCAGCUUUAACAUGCAUAUGAGGCAAUUGAAAAUACCAUGGCUUGAGUCAAGUGCAUCUUAGUCCUCAAAGUGACAUCUUUGCUUUUUAACACUUUACAGAGGUCAUUUGUAGCAGAUUUGCCCGAUGCAAUAUGUCAUUUGAUUUCUUGACUGCUACUUCCAUGGGCACUGAUUGUGUAUCCAAGUAAAAUGAAAUCCUUGACAACUUCUGCAUUUUCUCCUUUUAUCAUGAUGUUGUUCAUCGAUUCAGUUCUGACGGUUUUUGUUUUCUUUAUGUUGAGGUGCAAUCCAUACUGAAGGCUGUGGUCUUUGAUCUUCAUCACCAAGAUCGAUCUGACAUCAGCAAUGAUAUCCCUCAUCCCACAUCUUCUGAAUCCAGCUUGAAUUUCUGGCAGUUUCCUGUCCACGUACUGCUGCAACCACUUUUGAAUGAUCUUCAGCAAAAUUUUACUUGCAUGUGAUUUCAUUUGAUCAUUUCCACAUUCUGUUGGAUCACCUUUCUUUGCAAUAGACGCAAAUAUGGAUCUCUUCCAGUCAGUUGGUCAGUCAUGGAUUGAAUUGUGUCCCCCAAAAAUGUGUGUACCAAUUUGGCUAGGCCAUGAUUCCCACUAUUGUGUGAUUGUCCACCAUUUUGUCAUCUGAUGUGAUUUUCCUUUAUGUUGUAAAUCCUAUCUCUAUGAUGUUAAUGAGGUGGGAUAGGUGGCAG
Long non-coding RNA from Loxodonta africana (African savanna elephant), 1937 nucleotides. RefSeq lists it as uncharacterized. Lineage: Eukaryota; Metazoa; Chordata; Mammalia; Proboscidea; Elephantidae. The record is from RefSeq and is a predicted model, not a curated record. The transcript is spliced from 2 exons.